UGGGGAAUAUUGCACAAUGGGCGAAAGCCUGAUGCAGCGACGCCGCGUGAGGGAUGACGGCCUUCGGGUUGUAAACCUCUUUCAGUAGGGAAGAAGCGAAAGUGACGGUACCUGCAGAAGAAGCGCCGGCUAACUACGUGCCAGCAGCCGCGGUAAUACGUAGGGCGCAAGCGUUAUCCGGAAUUAUUGGGCGUAAAGAGCUCGUAGGCGGUUUGUCGCGUCUGCCGUGAAAGUCCGGGGCUCAACUCCGGAUCUGCGGUGGGUACGGGCAGACUAGAGUGAUGUAGGGGAGACUGGAAUUCCUGGUGUAGCGGUGAAAUGCGCAGAUAUCAGGAGGAACACCGAUGGCGAAGGCAGGUCUCUGGGCAUUAACUGACGCUGAGGAGCGAAAGCAUGGGGAGCGAACAGGAUUAGAUACCCUGGUAGUCCAUGCCGUAAACGUUGGGCACUAGGUGUGGGGGACAUUCCACGUUUUCCGCGCCGUAGCUAACGCAUUAAG
RNAcentral lists this ribosomal RNA (499 nucleotides) under uncultured Actinomycetes bacterium. Its description in RNAcentral is "bacterial SSU rRNA". It matches the Rfam family "Bacterial small subunit ribosomal RNA", at positions 355 to 864 of the family's 1533-position model. The record is from RNAcentral. Lineage: Bacteria; Bacillati; Actinomycetota; Actinomycetes.